Molecule: long non-coding RNA, 1127 nt
Filed under: Gouania willdenowi (blunt-snouted clingfish)
Lineage: Eukaryota; Metazoa; Chordata; Actinopteri; Blenniiformes; Gobiesocidae
Description: lncRNA (ENSGWIG00000025633.1)
Source: RNAcentral
CUUCCCUCCCUCUCUGACGCGCCGAGGUGAACCAAAGGAACAGAACAAGCUCCAAAUGGAACAGGAGGGGAAAGGGAAACGCACAAACUGGGAAGACAGACAUGGGAUUAUGUGAUGCGAGGAGGCGUGCCAGCAUUGAAGUUUGGAUGAGUACGCGCGAGAAACACACGCAAGCCAACCGGAUCAUUUACGCAGUGUCAUUGAGCCGCGGUGGACUUCUUCCUGAACUUCUGCCUCUGCUGAUGCUCGUUCUUUCCUCCCUGUUCUGUUGUAGCUGGGAAUCUAAACUGUAAACUUAGAGGGGAUUGAAAAAAAGUUUGAAUCCCGGCGCGUAAAACGCAAAAAAACUUGGAACGGUGUGCGUCGCCACCAGCACAGCAUGCAGGGCCUGAGCUCCAAAGCGCACGCGUUUUCAGUGGAAGCGCUGGUCGGGAAACCCUGCAAGAGGAUGAAAGUGUCGGAGGAUUCAAGUUCAGAUGGAGACAUGGACAUCAUCACCGCAGGAAUAUCCCCACAGCCAGGCAAAGAGAUCCGUGUCUGCGGAUGUGAGGCCGGAUGAGACCCACAGUGACCAUCAAAGACAAAGUGACUGCUCUGCUCCAGAGGACUGUGACCCGGUCAGAGGGAAGAGUCACAAGCCGAAGGAGAGCGACCGUGACGCGGACACGGAGCUGCGAGUGGAGCUGCAGGGAUCCGAGCUGUGGAAACGCUUCUUUGACAUCGGAACCGAGAUGAUCAUCACGAAAGCUGGCCGGUAUAGUUACAUAUAGAAGUUUUUAGCUUUUCUUCACCUUUAGUGAAGAUAAAGUCUGGUUUAAUUUCGACGUAAUAUAAAAAAUUAAACAUGUUUCUGCAAUGACCAUCAUUUUAAUUUAUACACACAGGACUAAUGAGCUUUUCAACUAUAAGGUUAAUAUUAAUAGUGGAAACACACAAAGGCUUCAGGCCUUAUAUUGACUAAAAUAAUUGAAUAUUUCACUGAAACGAUAUAUUGGGGUAAUGUACACGUAAAAGCUGGAGUAAGUGUUUUUAUUUAUUAAAAAAAUACCCAUUUUUUUCCGUUUAAAAAAAUAUAAAUAAUUUAAUUUAAUUAUUUUAUAACGUAGCGUGAAACACAGCACAGUGAC